Molecule: ribosomal RNA, 494 nt
Filed under: uncultured bacterium
Lineage: Bacteria
Description: partial 16S ribosomal RNA
Rfam family: Bacterial small subunit ribosomal RNA
Source: RNAcentral
GACGAACGCUGGCGGCGUGCUUAACACAUGCAAGUCGAACGGUGAAGCGCCUUCCUUUUUGGUGGGUGUGGAUGAGUGGCGAACGGGUGAGUAACACGUGAGUAACCUGCCCCCUUCUUCUGGAUAACCGCAUGAAAGUGUGGCUAAUACGGGAUAUUCUGGGUCUGUCGCAUGAUGGGUCUGGGAAAGAUAUUGUUUCGGUGGGGGAUGGGCUCGCGGCCUAUCAGCUUGUUGGUGGGGUGAUGGCCUACCAAGGCGGUGACGGGUAGCCGGCCUGAGAGGGUGGACGGUCACACUGGGGCUGAGACACGGCCCAGACUCCUACGGGAGGCAGCAGUGGGGAAUAUUGCACAAUGGGCGCAAGCCUGAUGCAGCGACGCCGCGUGAGGGAUGGAGGCCUUCGGGUUGUGAACCCCUUUCGCCAGUGAAGCAGGCCUGCCUCGUUUGUGGGUGGGUUGACGGUAGCUGGAUAAGAAGCGCCGGCUAACUACGUG